UACGUAGGGGGCAAGCGUUAUCCGGAUUUACUGGGUGUAAAGGGAACGUAGACGGCACUGCAAGUCUGGAGUGAAAGCCCGAGGCCCAACCACGGGACUGCUCUGGAAACUGCGGGGCUGGAGUGCAGGAGGGGUAAGCGGAAUUCCUAGUGUAGCGGUGAAAUGCGUAGAUAUUAGGAGGAACACCAGUGGCGAAGGCGGCUUACUGGACUGUAACUGACGUUGAGGCUCGAAAGCGUGGGGAGCAAACAGG
Molecule: ribosomal RNA, 253 nt
Filed under: uncultured bacterium
Lineage: Bacteria
Description: partial 16S ribosomal RNA
Rfam family: Bacterial small subunit ribosomal RNA
Source: RNAcentral